GGGGAUAGCUCAAUUGGUAGAGUGCGUGUUCAGCAGGCACAAAAUCCUGGGUUCAAUCCCCAAUAUCUCCA
Molecule: transfer RNA, 71 nt
Filed under: Camelus ferus (Wild Bactrian camel)
Lineage: Eukaryota; Metazoa; Chordata; Mammalia; Artiodactyla; Camelidae
Rfam family: tRNA
About the family: Transfer RNA (tRNA) molecules are approximately 80 nucleotides in length. Their secondary structure includes four short double-helical elements and three loops (D, anti-codon, and T loops).
Source: Rfam by way of RNAcentral